GCGAAUUAUGUCAAGGAGUUAUCCGUCGAUUAAAAAGAGAGUGAUGUCCUGAUUACAAAACUCAUAUCAGACAUGGAGUGUUCAAAGCAGACAGUGCUAAUUAUCAACCUCAGUAUACUUUAGCAUGAAAAAAGGUAUAGGGCCUUUUCCACGUGGUUCCAUAUUGUUAAGACAGCACUAGGAUUAGGGUAACGUUUAAUAAAGAGAGUUGAGGGCAUUAAUAUUUAAUUGUCAGAGGUGAAAUUUUUGGACUUAUGAAAGAUUAAAUUUUGCGAAAGCAUCUGCCAAGGAUGUUUUCAUUAAUCAAGAACGAAAGUUAGGGGAUCGAAGACGAUCAGAUACCGUCGUAGUCUUAACCAUAAACGAUGCCGACCAGCGAUUAGGAGACGUUGAAUACAAAACACCACGCGUCGGUUGCGGUCGUCCUUGGCGUCUCGGUUCGGCCGGGCGCGGGACGUUAGCCCGCCCUGAGUUAA
Molecule: ribosomal RNA, 476 nt
Filed under: Acanthamoeba sp. MA29
Lineage: Eukaryota; Discosea; Longamoebia; Acanthamoebidae
Description: bacterial SSU rRNA
Rfam family: Eukaryotic small subunit ribosomal RNA
Source: RNAcentral